GAUGAAGAACGCAGUGAAAUGCGAUAAUUAAUGUGAAUUGCAGAAUUCAGUGAAUCAUCGAGUCUUUGAACGCACAUUGCGCCCCCUGGUAUUCCGGGGGGCAUGCCUGUCCGAGCGUCAUUGCUGCCCUCAAGAACGGCUUGUGUGUUGGGCUUCCGUCCCUGGCAACGGGGACGGGCCCAAAAGGCAGUGGCGGCACCAUGUCUGGUCCUCGAGCGUAUGGGGCUUUGUCACCCGCUCCCGUAGGUCCAGCUGGCAGCUAGCCUCGCAACCAAUCUUUUUAACCAGGUUGACCUCGGAUCAGGUAGGGAUACCCGCUGAACUUAAGCAUAUCAAUAAGCGGAGGA
This 347-nucleotide unclassified non-coding RNA is filed under the name soil metagenome. Its description in RNAcentral is "partial contains 5.8S ribosomal RNA, internal transcribed spacer 2, and large subunit ribosomal RNA". The stretch from base 1 to 120 matches the Rfam family "5.8S ribosomal RNA", at positions 35 to 154 of the family's 154-position model. The record is from RNAcentral.